UACUCUUUGGCAGGGAAAAGAGAGAUAUCCUUUUUUUUAUUCUAAAGUCUACUGACUUAGUUUAGUUUUCUCGUUUCCACAGGGAAGUUAGGGAAAGUGGCAGAGACGGUAGCUGACCACCGAGGAGCUGUCUUCCCUCCCAGGCUGAAGGAGUUAAGCGUCUGAUGUGCUUCCCAUCUUUCUACCUCUGGUAGCCGCCGUAGGGCCACAUGGCGAAGACGGCAGAGCUAAAGAACUUAGUUCCCUGUGUUCCCCACUUGGAAGGGAACCACCAGGUAACAUCCACAUUAGCCCUCAGUUUCCACAUCUCAAGGGCAGAGUUGGGAAGGAAGUCAAGGCCGCAGAUACCGAGGUCACCCUUGGUUUCCUAAGGUCUACAGGUGUGGAGGAGGAACAUCUGGCCAGGAAGCCAGGCUGCUGGGCUCCCCGGAGGGAGGGCUCUCAGCCAGGCCAUCAGGAAAGAGGAAGCUCCUCAGCAGUGGUCUGGCCAACGCUCAGACUCUUCAAGUUUGCAGAGCGGUGAACUGCUUCAUACAUCCGCCCUGGCGAGAGCCUUCCCGAAGGGGGAUCACAUCCUUCAUGAGACUCAGUGCCGGACCCACUGGCAGGGACAACGCAUCCCCCUCCGAAAGAGGGGCACCUGGGGCUCGGUGGUGGAGCAUCUGCCUUGGGCUCAGGCCGUGACCUCAGGGUCCCAGGAUCCAGUCCCACCUCAGGCUCCCUGCAUGGAGCC
Nyctereutes procyonoides (raccoon dog) is the source of this 733-nucleotide long non-coding RNA. RefSeq lists it as uncharacterized. The record is from RefSeq and is a predicted model, not a curated record. The transcript is spliced from 3 exons. Lineage: Eukaryota; Metazoa; Chordata; Mammalia; Carnivora; Canidae.